ACUCCUACGGGAGGCAGCAGUAAGGAAUAUUGGUCAAUGGACGCAAGUCUGAACCAGCCAUGCCGCGUGGAGGAUGAAGGCCCUCUGGGUUGUAAACUUCUUUUAUCUGGGACGAAAAAGGGACUUUCUAGUUCAACUGACGGUACCAGAGGAAUAAGCACCGGCUAACUCCGUGCCAGCAGCCGCGGUAAUACGGAGGGUGCAAGCGUUAUCCGGAUUCACUGGGUUUAAAGGGUGCGUAGGUGGGCAGGUAAGUCAGUGGUGAAAUCUUUGGGCUUAACCCGAAAACUGCCAUUGAUACUAUUUGUCUUGAAUAUUGUGGAGGUCAGCGGAAUAUGUCAUGUAGCGGUGAAAUGCUUAGAUAUGACAUAGAACACCAAUUGCGAAGGCAGCUGGCUACACAUAUAUUGACACUGAUGCACGAAAGCGUGGGGAUCAAACAGGAUUAGAUACCCUGGUAGUCCACGCCCUAAACGAUGGAUACUCGACAUACGCGAUAUACUGUGUGUGUCUGAGCGAAAGCAUUAAGUAUCCCACCUGGGAAGUACGAUCGCAAGAUUGAAACUCAAAGGAAUUGACG
RNAcentral lists this ribosomal RNA (580 nucleotides) under uncultured Sphingobacteriia bacterium. RNAcentral describes it as "bacterial SSU rRNA". It matches the Rfam family "Bacterial small subunit ribosomal RNA", at positions 335 to 915 of the family's 1533-position model. The record is from RNAcentral. Lineage: Bacteria; Pseudomonadati; Bacteroidota; Sphingobacteriia.